This is a long non-coding RNA of Engraulis encrasicolus (European anchovy), 2413 nucleotides long. RefSeq lists it as uncharacterized. The transcript has 2 exons. NCBI's taxonomy places the organism in Eukaryota, Metazoa, Chordata, Actinopteri, Clupeiformes, Engraulidae. The record is from RefSeq and is a predicted model, not a curated record.
AUGACGAGACUGACUGCAAGCCAUGAUGAACAGGUCCACCUGCCAACUAAGCCUUGCUAGCUUGCACGUACCAACUCCCUCCACACACGCACACGCACACGCACACACACUUCAGGAAGGCUUACACAUACAUGCCUUGUAAGAAGUGGAGCAGCGGCCACCGUCUGUCUGUCUGGGAAGUCACUUAACACAGCAUAUGGUCUAAGAGGUCGGAGGUCAAAGGCUGCUCAGCAGAAUCCUAUGGUGACCGGGCCGCUCAGGUCGACUGAGGACUAAGGAAGUGCUGCCGGCCGUGUCCAUUCACACACCUACUAAUCACCAACCGGAAAAAUAAUGAUUUUUAUCCCCUCUGCGAGCUGUGACGAUAAUGUGGAUGUCAACAGGUUCAUCCACGUAACACGGUCAACGGCAGAAAAAGUUCAGAACAUGAGGGCAGGUGGUUUGCAGGUGAGCAUUUUAGUGCCGAACUUAACUGGUGCGAGCACCGGCACCUUUCUGUUGGGCCUGACAACAGUAUGGGUCAGUAGGCCUCAAGGCCCUGGGUCGGGUUUCUAUGGCCCAGUUCUCACCAGAACCAUGUUGGACCAGGUGUGACCUGUGUGGCCAGUGGAGGUUGCCAGACGUGAUCUGCAUGGCCAGUGGAGGUUGCCAGACGUGAUCUGCAUGGCCAGUGGAGGUUGCCAGGUGUGAGUGAGCUGUGUGGCCAGUGGAGGUUGCCAGAUGUGACCUGCAUGGCCAGUGGAGGUUGUGAAGGUCCAUUUGUGCCAGAAGGUCUUUUUUUGCCAUCACGGUAAUGAUUCCACUUAAAAUCUCUCUCUCUCUCACACGCACACACACACACCCUUACCCCACUGGGAAGCAUGCAUUUGAGAUUGGAAUAUUGUACGAAGCAAAAGGUAUUAUUUUAUAGUCUGAUCAGCAGCAUCGUUUUCAAGCCUGUACAGACAGUAGGCUACCCACGGGGACCCCGGUUCGAGUCCGGCCGGGGUCAUUUCCCGAUCCUCCCCCGUCUCUCUGUCCCACUCGCUUCCUGUCACCAUCUUCGACUGUCCUGCCAGAUAAAGGCAUAAAAGCCCCUAAAAAAUACAUUUAAAAAAAAAAGAAAAUGUAAUUUUCCAAUAUGGAAUAUACGACUACCGAUACCAAGAAAUUGAUGGUGGUUGUGUAUAUUCAUCUGCAUUUCACACCUGUGAAAAUGGGCAGCAGCAUUAAUUCUGGAAAUUAACUAUUUAAACAAUUCCACAGUCCACCUUUAAGAUCCACCAAACGCACACACUGGUAACUAUGAAAACAGCUGCUUAGUUUCAAGAGAGUUGGGCAACAGCAAUAAAAUUAAAAACAGGAACACAACACCAUGACAACCCAUCUCAUAAGAACACAACACCAUGACAACCAAACUCAUAAAAACCCAAACUGCCCGCUGGAAGUCAUAGUCCAGUCCAACACGGAUCAUGGAAGAUUGCAGUACGCAAACCUGUGUGUGUGUGUGUGUGUGUGUGUGUGUGUGUGUGUUUGGAGUACGCAAACCGGUUAAUUCUGCAGUCGCUGAUCUGGUCGGUAGUGGAGGAGAAUGUGGCGGUGGCUGUGGCUGAGUGUGUGUGUGUGUGUGUGUGUGUGUGUGUGUGUGUGUGUGUGUGUGUGUGUGUGUGUGUGUGUGUGUGUGUGUGUGUGUGUGUGUGUGUGUGUGUGCGCGUGUGCGGCGUGGUAAUAAAGGGACUUUUGUCCGGUGUUUCUUCAUUGCAUCAGAAGACUUCACGCACGCACGCACGCACAUGGAGGAUUUAGCACCAUAGGAAAGGAGAGAUGUGGCAGAGACUGUCUGAAUAUAAGGAGACGGAACACUUCAAAAAUCGUCCAUAGGAAUGAAUGGGGGCAGUUCGUCACGCUAAUAUGAGUGCAAUACGAGUAUAAGAAAAUAAGUCCUUUCAUUCGGCGGCCAUCUUGGCUACGUCUCAGGGUCGCAAUUUGGGUCGCAAUUUCAGACUAGUCAGACCAGGUCAGUCGAGGCAACGAGAUGAUUGGAUAAAUGACAGCGCAGCUCAGCAAGCGAUUGGCUCUUGAUGUCGGCCAGGUGGGAUAUAUGCAAGCACGCGCCAUAUUAGCGUAACAAACUGCCCCCGUUCAUUCCUAUGGACGCUUUCUGAAGUGUUCCGUCUCCUUAUAUUCAGACAGUCUCUGAUAAUCGUCCUCACACGAGGAAGACCAAAUGGAUUGCGAAGAGCAGAGGAUUCCUGAAGACACAAGCCACCAAUCAGAAGAGCCAAGCAGAGUUCUCAGCCAAUAAGAGCAGCCAAGCCGAUUUCUCCACCAAUGAGAAGAGCCAGGUCGAUUUCUCCACCAAUCAGAAAGGACCUCAAAACAUACUAUGCUUAUGAGGUCACCUUGGAAACGUCUUAAAGAGGGUUACCACUGC